This 96-nucleotide ribosomal RNA is filed under the name Pseudoalteromonas phenolica. Its description in RNAcentral is "partial 23S ribosomal RNA". The record is from RNAcentral. Lineage: Bacteria; Pseudomonadati; Pseudomonadota; Gammaproteobacteria; Alteromonadales; Pseudoalteromonadaceae.
CGUUUCUAGUCUGGGUGUCGAAGCGAAGUGAUACAUUAAGCUAACCAGUACUAAUUACCCGUGAGGCUUAACCAUACAACGCCAAAGUGGUUUUAG